Molecule: long non-coding RNA, 1003 nt
Filed under: Monodelphis domestica (gray short-tailed opossum)
Lineage: Eukaryota; Metazoa; Chordata; Mammalia; Didelphimorphia; Didelphidae
Description: lncRNA (ENSMODG00000045367.1)
Source: RNAcentral
GGAUAAUGUCACACGCUAAAAACAAUGCUGGCUUUUGAGUCUGGAAAACUGUGUUUGUAUCCCAUCCCCUACAUUCCCUAUCUAUGUGAAAUAGCUGUUUUAACCUCUCUGCCUCAGUUUCCCAAUUUGUCAGAUAGGUAGGCCAUGGCUUGAUCUCCUUACCUCCCAAGAAUAUGAUGAGAAAAGGGCCUUGUAAAUCUUGAAGGAUCAUACCCGUUUCGGCUUUUAUUAUUAGGCUUUGAAACCCCCAGCCAGCUAUUUUCUGGAUCUCCAACUCAGUGGAAUUCAAAGAGAGGCAUCAGUAAUUUAUAAGGAAGGGAAGACCUCUGGAGAGUCUGUUUUUCUGUUUGUGCAGCAGUCUGAGACCUGAGGGGGGAGGGAGGGUCAUGUGACGUGUCGGAGGGAUCAUUCUCAGCCCUGUCAGCCAGGGCCGCUCUGAGGCCAGGGGCCAGAGUAUUGUUAGCACUGCCUCAGAGCCCCAUGUCAGCCAUCAACACCACUGCCAGGCAGUCGGACUGGCAGGCCUGACGGAGAAUGACUGGUUCAGAUGGGAAGAUUUCUAAGGAAUCCCAACAGCCUGAAAACCGUCAAACCAGGCAGGAUGACUUGUUUGGAACUUAAUCUUCAGUUAGAAAUGAAAACGACCUCCGAAUGGACUUGUCACUGACGCAAGCUGACAGAGAGAGGUACCUUAGGAGCUACUGUAUCCCUUUUCAAACUCUCUGGGAACAAUGAGAAAAGCAGAAGGUUGUACAUCGAGGAGUGAGAGCCUCCCAUAAAUUGAGCUAGCUUGGGCAAUGUGUGUGUCAACCUUAACACCCAUGUGGACAUUCCUGGAAGGUAUACUGUCAAGCAAACUCCAGGGACUUCUGGGUAAACAUGGCUGCAAUCUAGAAGAGACUCGCUUCCUCUCCCCAGCACGGAAUGAAAUAGACUACUGCAAAAGAGCAUAAAAAUCACAUUUGGACGAAUGGAGGGACUCUCCAGUACCCCACAGAAAGGA